GAUGAACGCUAGCGAUAGGCUUAACACAUGCAAGUCGAGGGGCAGCAUGGUCUUAGCUUGCUAAGGCUGAUGGCGACCGGCGCACGGGUGCGUAACGCGUAUGCAACUUGCCUCACAGAGGGGGAUAACCCGUCGAAAGACGGACUAAUACCGCGUACACUCUAUGUUGGGCAUCCAAUGUAGAGGAAAUGAAAUUCGCUGUGAGAUAGGCAUGCGUCCCAUUAGCUAGUUGGUGAGGUAACGGCUCACCAAGGCGACGAUGGGUAGGGGAACUGAGAGGUUGAACCCCCACACUGGUACUGAGACACGGACCAGACUCCUACGGGAGGCAGCAGUGAGGAAUAUUGGUCAAUGGGCGAGAGCCUGAACCAGCCAAGUCGCGUGAAGGAUGACUGUCUUAUGGAUUGUAAACUUCUUUUAGACGGGAAUAACAAGAGUCACGUGUGGCUCCCUGCAUGUACCGGAUGAAUAAGCAUCGGCUAACUCCGUG
Molecule: ribosomal RNA, 490 nt
Filed under: uncultured bacterium
Lineage: Bacteria
Description: partial 16S ribosomal RNA
Rfam family: Bacterial small subunit ribosomal RNA
Source: RNAcentral